Long non-coding RNA from Fukomys damarensis (Damara mole-rat), 154 nucleotides. RefSeq lists it as uncharacterized. The record is from RefSeq and is a predicted model, not a curated record. The transcript is spliced from 3 exons. Lineage: Eukaryota; Metazoa; Chordata; Mammalia; Rodentia; Bathyergidae.
UCCUGCCUCAGCCUUCCAACUGUUGGGAUUACAGGAAUAACAACACGCUUUGGAAGAGAUUAAAGCUUUAAAGAUAAUCAACAGUUAUAUUCAUGGAAACUCAAUUCUAUUGCACAGGAAUCUGGAAUUUUGGCACAUAUUAGGAAAACAGAAG